This 1325-nucleotide long non-coding RNA is filed under the name Sarcophilus harrisii (Tasmanian devil). RNAcentral's name for it is "lncRNA (ENSSHAG00000032258.1)". Lineage: Eukaryota; Metazoa; Chordata; Mammalia; Dasyuromorphia; Dasyuridae. The record is from RNAcentral.
ACUGGUUUGACACCUCUUUGUCAACAUCUUGUUGCUUAAGUUCCUGUGGAUGUUGCCCACAUGGUGCUUUUUGGUUCCAAGUUUGGAUUUGUCCCUGCUACUGGUUCCAUAUAGAGAAAAAGAAAAGGGGAAAAAAAUCCUUGUAACAAAUAUACAGUCUCAUUCUGCUGCCUGAUUCAAUCUCCUCUAUCAGAAGGAAAAACCAGGACACAGGUGAAGUGACUUGUCCAGAACCCAUUCAGUGGAAAGAGUGGGUGAUUUGAUCCCAUAUAUUGCCAACUCAAAAGUUCAACACCUGAUUCACUGCUCUAUCUCACUGACUGGGUAUUAUUUCUAGGAGACUCCAAUUCCUUUACUUUACUGGACUCCGACUGCCCAGGAUUUAAAGUCGCUUUCAAAACUCCCUAUUAAAACAAUUCACUUAGUUUUCUGGUAAUACCGACUCUUAUCUUUUUUGGGCAAGAUGGAAAAAAGUGCACUAUGUGAAAUGGGGAAAAUGUGAUUGGAGGAUGUCAUUCCAGAGAACCUCUAGUGCCAUGUCCCAAGAACUUGUGCCCUGAGUUUAACACAUAACUGAUGAUUUGAGAAAGGGCCCAGAUGACAUACUAAUAACAAAAGUGCAUUAUGACCCAAAGUUGGAAGGGACAGUCCAAGUCCCUUGGUAAAGUCAAGGAGCCAAAAUAUACCAUCAAAUCUAAUAGAGAAAUGUUAUCAAUUUUUAUUUUAAAAAUAAAAAUACCAAUCAAAAGUAUAGGAGACACUUUUCCUUAUGAAUCUCUAUCUUAGUCAGACUACAACUAGAGUAUAAUGCUUAUUUUGGGAUACAUUUUAAUGGAAUGAACAAAGAAUAAUCAAUGCCCUGGCCAAUUUAUAACCUGGGGCAAUGAAUUCUGGUGAUAGCAUUUAGAAGCCAAAAGGCCCUUUAGACAGCCAAUCCAGCUUCCUUGUUUUUACAGAUAAGGAAAUAAAUAUGGAAACUUGGACUGGAAACAAAAAUCACAAAGGAAAGGAAGUUUUGGUUUCACUCUAAACCUGAUGUCUUCCUCUACCCUUUCCUCCUCCCACUAUUAACACAAAGCCUCACUAGAAAGGUUUUCUGAAGGACUUUUGGAUUGCCAAAGAUAGUUUAGACAAGUUCCCUGACAUUCUUUCUGAAAUGCUGGAGUUUUACACAAGAAUGCACACAUCAUUCAAGAGCUUAGAUGUUUCUAGCUCUAAUUGUCUUUGUAAGAACCCUCAGAAAAUCACCACAUUCAACUUGUUUCAAUUAAAGUAGUCUAUUAGUUUUGAACUAAAGGCUUUCUACUUCUUAAGGGAAUGUAUAC